GACGUAGGGAGCAAGCGUUGUCCGGAUUUACUGGGCGUAAAGCGCACGUAGGCGGUCUGUUAAGUGUGAAGUGAAAUCUCCAGCGCUCAACGCGGAAACUGCUUCGCAUACUGGCAGACUAGAGGAUUGAAGAGGUAACUAGAAUUCCCGGUGUAGCGGUGACAUGCAUAGAUAUCGGGAGGAAUACCAAAGGCGAAGGCAGGUUACUGGUCAAUUCCUGACGCUGAGGUGCGAAAGCGUGGGUAGCAAACAGAAUUAGAUACUCUGGUAGUCCACGCCCUAAACGAUGGAUACUAGGCGUAAGAGGUAUCGACCCCUCUUGUGCCGCAGCUAACGCAUUAAGUAUCCCGCCUGGGGAGUACGGCCGCAAGGUUGAA
RNAcentral lists this ribosomal RNA (377 nucleotides) under uncultured bacterium. Its description in RNAcentral is "bacterial SSU rRNA". It matches the Rfam family "Bacterial small subunit ribosomal RNA", at positions 524 to 898 of the family's 1533-position model. The record is from RNAcentral.